UCGAGUUAACCCACGGGCUGGCGACGCUUCGAGCGUCGCCAGCCCUUGUUUUUUCGGGUUCUUCCCCGGAACUUGAC
RNAcentral lists this transfer RNA (77 nucleotides) under Botrimarina colliarenosi. RNAcentral's name for it is "Planctomycetes bacterium Pla108 tRNA-Arg". The record is from RNAcentral. Lineage: Bacteria; Pseudomonadati; Planctomycetota; Planctomycetia; Pirellulales; Lacipirellulaceae.